UUAUAGUCAAAUAAAAUAUUCACAAUUCUAAACGGUUCUAUCCUUCAAUUUAAGUUCUUGAUACAUAAACUUAUUUGUGUAAAAAGGAAUUUACCGUAAGACAGAUAGAUUCAAGCCCAUUUCGUCGGUUUGUUAUAAUUUUUGCUGUAUAGCUUAUUAUAUUAAUACAAGCAUUCAACAAUAAUAUAUUUUUACGAAAAUAUUAUCCCCAUUUUAGUUGUCCAGUUUCAAUAAUGCAAUUAAUAACAUUUAUGACAUAUACAUAAAUUUAGAAUACUUGAAAGUAAAUAUUCUUUUAUUCAAUCUCGAUUAACUUUGCACAUUUCAACAGUAAAAAAAUCUAUGCCUACAUUUGCCUACAUUAUUUUGUUAAACAUCAUGUGAAACCUGAUCGAUUCAUCGGUAUUUAUCUGUUUAACUCGGGAUCCGCUUUUAACUGGAAAAUACUUUUAGGACAGUUUAAAACAAACGGUAAAA
Molecule: long non-coding RNA, 477 nt
Filed under: Mytilus galloprovincialis (Mediterranean mussel)
Lineage: Eukaryota; Metazoa; Mollusca; Bivalvia; Mytilida; Mytilidae
Source: RNAcentral